CAUUAAAGAUUAUGAAUGAAUAGAUUACUGGGGGAAUCGUCUGAACAAGGCCUGCGCUUAAUUGCGCGGCCAGUUCUUGAUUCUCUGCUAUCAGUUUUCUAUUUCUCAUCCUAAACACAAUGGAGUUUUUUCUCUAUGAACUACUUCCCUGGAGAGCUCGUCUCUCCAGUGGACAUAAACACAAACAAUAUUUUGUAUUAUGAAAAACUAUUAUACUAUAAAAUUUAAUAUUCAAAACUUUCAACAACGGAUCUCUUGGUUCUCGCAUCGAUGAAGAACGCAGCGAAUUGCGAUAUGUAUUGUGAAUUGCAGAUUUUCGUGAAUCAUCAAAUCUUUGAACGCACAUUGCGCCCUCUGGUAUUCCAGGGGGCAUGCCUGUUUGAGCGUCAUUUCUCUCUCAAACCUUUGGGUUUGGUAGUGAGUGAUACUCGUCUCGGGUUAACUUGAAAGUGGCUAGCCGUUGCCAUCUGCGUGAGCAGGGCUGCGUGUCAAGUCUAUGGACUCGACUCUUGCACAUCUACGUCUUAGGUUUGCGCCAAUUCGUGGUAAGCUUGGGUCAUAGAGACUCAUAGGUGUUAUAAAGACUCGCUGGUGUUUGUCUCCUUGAGGCAUACGGCUUUAACCAAAACUCUCAAAGUUUGACCUCAAAUCAGGUAGGAGUACCCGCUGAACUUAAGCAUAUCAAA
This 686-nucleotide unclassified non-coding RNA is filed under the name Kluyveromyces marxianus. Its description in RNAcentral is "sequence contains ITS1, 5.8S rRNA gene and ITS2". The stretch from base 236 to 389 matches the Rfam family "5.8S ribosomal RNA". The record is from RNAcentral. Lineage: Eukaryota; Fungi; Ascomycota; Saccharomycetes; Saccharomycetales; Saccharomycetaceae.